CUGCAUUGUAAACGGUACACAUCAGCAACUCUUCUGUUGUAUUUCUGACAAAGCAGCUGCCCAAGGAGUGUUAAAAGUACUGCAGUAUUAAACUGCACUUGUCAUUACCACAGUAAUCUUAUAGAUCACAACUUUAAAAGUCAUAUGU
This is a long non-coding RNA of Etheostoma spectabile (orangethroat darter), 148 nucleotides long. RefSeq lists it as uncharacterized. The record is from RefSeq and is a predicted model, not a curated record. The transcript has 4 exons. NCBI's taxonomy places the organism in Eukaryota, Metazoa, Chordata, Actinopteri, Perciformes, Percidae.